Molecule: ribosomal RNA, 449 nt
Filed under: uncultured bacterium
Lineage: Bacteria
Description: bacterial SSU rRNA
Rfam family: Bacterial small subunit ribosomal RNA
Source: RNAcentral
GUCGAGAAUUUUUCACAAUGGGCGAAAGCCUGAUGGAGCGACGCCGCGUGGGGGAUGAAGGGCUUCGGCCCGUAAACCCCUGUCAUUCGGGAACAAACCCUGCGCCCUAACAUGGCGCAGGCUGAUAGUACCGGAAGAGGAAGGGACGGCUAACUCUGUGCCAGCAGCCGCGGUAAUACAGAGGUCCCAAGCGUUGUUCGGAUUCACUGGGCGUAAAGGGUGCGUAGGUGGUGGGGCAAGUUCGGUGUGAAAUCUCCGAGCUCAACUCGGAAAUGGCAUUGAAAACUGCCCUGCUUGAGGGUCGGAGGGGAGACUGGAAUUCUCGGUGUAGCAGUGAAAUGCGUAGAUAUCGAGAGGAACACCAGUGGCGAAGGCGAGUCUCUGGACGACUCCUGACACUGAUGCACGAAAGCUAGGGGAGCAAACAGGAUUAGAAACCCUUGUAGUCC